This 19-nucleotide ribosomal RNA is filed under the name Xanthoria parietina. RNAcentral's name for it is "partial 18S ribosomal RNA". The record is from RNAcentral. Lineage: Eukaryota; Fungi; Ascomycota; Lecanoromycetes; Teloschistales; Teloschistaceae. RNAcentral also lists the same sequence under 2 other names.
UGACCUGCGGAGGAUCAUU